UAGGGAAUCUUCGGCAAUGGGGGGAACCCUGACCGAGCAACGCCGCGUGAGUGAAGAAGGUUUUCGGAUCGUAAAGCUCUGUUGUUAAGGAAGAACGAGUGUGAGAAUGGAAAGUUCAUACUGUGACGGUACUUAACCAGAAAGGAACGGCUAACUACGUGCCAGCAGCCGCGGUAAUACGUAGGUCCCGAGCGUUGUCCGGAUUUAUUGGGCGUAAAGCGAGCGCAGGCGGUUAGAUAAGUCUGAAGUUAAAGGCAGUGGCUCAACCAUUGUAGGCUUUGGAAACUGUUUAACUUGAGUGCAGAAGGGGAGAGUGGAAUUCCAUGUGUAGCGGUGAAAUGCGUAGAUAUAUGGAGGAACACCGGUGGCGAAAGCGGCUCUCUGGUCUGUAACUGACGCUGAGGCUCGAAAGCGUGGGGAGCGAACAGG
Molecule: ribosomal RNA, 429 nt
Filed under: Bacteroidota bacterium
Lineage: Bacteria; Pseudomonadati; Bacteroidota
Description: Bacteroidetes bacterium partial 16S ribosomal RNA
Rfam family: Bacterial small subunit ribosomal RNA
Source: RNAcentral